UCAUAGUAACAAAGAAAAUAGAAUCCUGGGAACUUUCCCCAAGAAGACAAUCACUCUUUGAGCCCAGAAAUCACAGGAAAUGUAGUUACUAAUCAUAUGGAUUUUUGCCUGCUAAACAAUGCUUUGAGAAUUAUAGGUUUGUCCUUGUAUAAUUCCUGAUCUAUAGACCCCAGAUCAAGAGUCUUCAGUCUCUAAGUUUUAAGAAGUAAUAAUCAUUGAGAGUAAAAGUCAACAAAAGUCAUCUGGACUUGUAAAGCUCUGCCAAGACCCCAAGAUUCUUCUUGCUUUGGAAAAAUGAUGCUGUCUGGGUAAACUUGCUAAAGAUCCUUGAUUAUCAUCUCCAUUUGCAAAAGCUCCUGAGAUUUUUCAUGAUACCUUUUGAAUGUCAUGGGAACUGAAGAUUUUGAAUAUGCCUAAAGGGUGUUUCAUUUGGAAAGACAAAAAAUCCUAACAGCUAUUUCUAAAAACAACAGUGAAGGUGUCUGAAAUAUUUCAGUGGAAGUACCAUAAAUGAUAUGCUUAUUUCAGAGCUAAUUAUUAGAAUCAGAGGACCUGAAUUUGAAACCUGGCUUUUUUUUUCCACUUAGUAUUCUGUCCAUGGUCAAGGUAUUCUGAGGAAAGGAAAGAAUCUAACAUGUGGUAGGCCAGUCAAGUCACUAUCACCACUUUGAUUACUCCUUUCAGACCCCAAUGGAGAUAGCCCAGGAUUCAAACAUGAGAGCCUUGAGAAUAGCAGUGCUUUCAGCCCUGUGCCCAUCCAUAGUCAUCAAUCUUCCUGGGAAGCAACCCCAUAGAGAUGCAGCUGGCAACUAGACAUGCACAUGCCACAACCACAUCUACUGAAGACCCAGAAAAGAAAUUUCUUUUCAGCAAAGUCAAUAUCAGAAAUUAAUAAAGUUUAGACUUGAAUUAUUUGGCCCUAGAGGACAGAUCAAUGACCAAUGGGAGGGAAGCUUCAAAGAAACAAAUUUGAGCUUACUGUCAAGAAAUAAUACCCAACAAUUCAAUCUGUUCAAAAGGGAAAUGGGUUUGCAGGAGAGAUUGGGAUUUCCUCCUAUUUGGCUAUCUUCAAAUAGAAGUUGAAUGACUAAUUGUGUGUGGGUAUGUAAUGGUAGGAAUUCCUUUUGAGUGUGGGUUGGACUAUUGAGGUUCCUUCCAUUUCAGACUGUGGUUCUGUUUCUCCAGAAUUUCUGACCUUUUCAUUUUACCAUGCAUGCUGAGAGAUAAAGAGAUGGAACUAAUGACUCUUCA
Long non-coding RNA from Monodelphis domestica (gray short-tailed opossum), 1251 nucleotides. RefSeq lists it as uncharacterized. NCBI's taxonomy places the organism in Eukaryota, Metazoa, Chordata, Mammalia, Didelphimorphia, Didelphidae. The record is from RefSeq and is a predicted model, not a curated record.